Molecule: ribosomal RNA, 768 nt
Filed under: uncultured bacterium
Lineage: Bacteria
Description: bacterial SSU rRNA
Rfam family: Bacterial small subunit ribosomal RNA
Source: RNAcentral
CAGGUUAAGCGUGUUGUGAAAUGUAGGGGCUCAACCUCUGCACUGCAGCGCGAACUGGCUUGCUUGAGUACGCACAACGUGGGCGGAAUUCGUGGUGUAGCGGUGAAAUGCUUAGAUAUCACGAAGAACUCCGAUUGCGAAGGCAGCUCACGGGAGCGCAACUGACGCUGAAGCUCGAAAGUGCGGGUAUCGAACAGGAUUAGAUACCCUGGUAGUCCGCACGGUAAACGAUGGAUGCCCGCUGUUGGCUUGAAUUAGUCAGCGGCCAAGCGAAAGCAUUAAGCAUCCCACCUGGGGAGUACGCCGGCAACGGUGAAACUCAAAGGAAUUGACGGGGGCCCGCACAAGCGGAGGAACAUGUGGUUUAAUUCGAUGAUACGCGAGGAACCUUACCCGGGCUUGAAUUGCAGAGGAAGGAUUUGGAGACAAUGACGCCCCUCGGGGCCUCUGUGAAGGUGCUGCAUGGUUGUCGUCAGCUCGUGCCGUGAGGUGUCGGCUUAAGUGCCAUAACGAGCGCAACCCCUCUCCUUAGUUGCCAUCAGGUAAGGCUGGGCACUCUGAGGACACUGCCACCGUAAGGUGUGAGGAAGGUGGGGAUGACGUCAAAUCAGCACGGCCCUUACGUCCGGGGCUGCACACGUGUUACAAUGGCAGGUACAGAGAGCCGGUCUGAUGCAAAUCAGAUCCAAUCCUUAAAGCCUGUCUCAGUUCGGACUGGGGUCUGCAACCCGACCCCACGAAGCUGGAUUCGCUAGUAAUCGCGCAUCA